This is a long non-coding RNA of Dermacentor andersoni, 614 nucleotides long. RefSeq lists it as uncharacterized. The record is from RefSeq and is a predicted model, not a curated record. Lineage: Eukaryota; Metazoa; Arthropoda; Arachnida; Ixodida; Ixodidae.
UGUAUUACAACAGUUCAGUGCUGCCAACAGUUCUGCUAUGCAGAAUGGUUCGUUGUACGACACACUUUUUGCACAUUUUCUUUCUAACUUUUGCCGUUCUAUUCGCGUUUUGUACUUUAGGAAGGUUUUAGAGUAGUGUGAGGAGCUCGAUAUGUGUACAAAAUGUGCACCAAGAAAGUUGGCUCGAUAUUCCAGGCUUUCUCCGUGGUUAUUUACUAAGGGCAGGGAAUACGUUCGUUACCCAUCCCGUUCCCGGGGUGGCCCGAACGGGGCCGACCAGGCGCCAUCGGCUGGCUCCAAGGACAGCCACCGCUGGGAGACUAUGGGGAAAGGAGGCAGUCGUAGCUCGAGCGGAAGACGCCGGGGAUCCCGUUCGAAGUCCCGGACCAGAUCGAGAACCCAGGUCGAGUCCAACCAACGAGGGAUACUCGCCGAGAAAAAGUUCCGGUAACAUGCAACGAGCAAGGCAUUCGCUAAUGGAUGGUGUAUCGAAGAACUGGCCAAUAUUUCUGUGUGAUGCUGUACAAGCAUGUGGCGUUACCUUACAAGGCACCCACAAAAUUCGGCUUUGCGACACUCCAAGAGGACGUGGAGGACGGUCAGCCUCUCGCCAC